This 1017-nucleotide ribosomal RNA is filed under the name uncultured bacterium. RNAcentral's name for it is "bacterial SSU rRNA". It matches the Rfam family "Bacterial small subunit ribosomal RNA", at positions 357 to 1376 of the family's 1533-position model. The record is from RNAcentral.
AGGAAUAUUGGUCAAUGGACGAGAGUCUGAACCAGCCAAGUAGCGUGAAGGAUGACUGCCCUAUGGGUUGUAAACUUCUUUUAUACGGGAAUAAAGUGAGGCACGUGUGCCUUUUUGUAUGUACCGUAUGAAUAAGGAUCGGCUAACUCCGUGCCAGCAGCCGCGGUAAUACGGAGGAUCCGAGCGUUAUCCGGAUUUAUUGGGUUUAAAGGGAGCGUAGGCGGACGCUUAAGUCAGUUGUGAAAGUUUGCGGCUCAACCGUAAAAUUGCAGUUGAUACUGGGUGUCUUGAGUACAGUAGAGGCAGGCGGAAUUCGUGGUGUAGCGGUGAAAUGCUUAGAUAUCACGAAGAACCCCGAUUGCGAAGGCAGCUUGCCAGGCCUGGACUGACGUUGAGGCUCGAAGGUGCGGGUAUCGAACAGGAUUAGAUACCCUGGUAGUCCGCACGGUAAACGAUGGAUACUCGCUGUCGGCGAUACACGGUCGGCGGCCAAGCGAAAGCGUUAAGUAUCCCACCUGGGGAGUACGCCGGCAACGGUGAAACUCAAAGGAAUUGACGGGGGCCCGCACAAGCGGAGGAACAUGUGGUUUAAUUCGAUGAUACGCGAGGAACCUUACCCGGGCUUGAAUUGCAACUGAAUGAUGUGGAGACAUGUCAGCCGCAAGGCAGUUGUGAAGGUGCUGCAUGGUUGUCGUCAGCUCGUGCCGUGAGGUGUCGGCUUAAGUGCCAUAACGAGCGCAACCCCUCCCGCCAGUUGCCAUCAGGUAAAGCUGGGCACUCUGGGGGCACUGCCACCGCAAGGUGUGAGGAAGGUGGGGAUGACGUCAAAUCAGCACGGCCCUUACGUCCGGGGCUACACACGUGUUACAAUGGGAGGUCACAGAGGGCUGCUACCCGGCGACGGGACGCCAAUCCCCAAACCCUCCCUCAGUACGGACUGGAGUCUGCAACCCGACUCCACGAAGCUGGAUUCGCUAGUAAUCGCGCAUCAGCCACGGCGCGGUGAAUACGUUCCCG